This 748-nucleotide ribosomal RNA is filed under the name Mesomycoplasma hyopneumoniae. RNAcentral's name for it is "bacterial SSU rRNA". It matches the Rfam family "Bacterial small subunit ribosomal RNA", at positions 753 to 1516 of the family's 1533-position model. The record is from RNAcentral. Lineage: Bacteria; Bacillati; Mycoplasmatota; Mycoplasmoidales; Metamycoplasmataceae.
ACGAAAGCGUGGGGAGCAAACAGGAUUAGAUACCCUGGUAGUCCACGCCGUAAACGAUGAUCAUUAGUUGGUGGCAAAAGUCACUAACACAGCUAACGCGUUAAAUGAUCCGCCUGAGUAGUAUGCUCGCAAGAGUGAAACUUAAAGGAAUUGACGGGAACCCGCACAAGCGGUGGAGCAUGUGGUUUAAUUUGAAGAUACGCGUAGAACCUUACCCACUCUUGACAUUCUCGCAAAACUAUAGAGAUAUAGCCGAGGCUAACGAGAUCACAGAUGGUGCAUGGUUGUCGUCAGCUCGUGUCGUGAGAUGUUAGGUUAAGUCCUGCAACGAGCGCAACCCUUUUCUUUAGUUGCUAACAUUUAGUUGAGAACCCUAAAGAUACUGCCGGCGCAAGCCGGAGGAAGGUGGGGACGACGUCAAAUCAUCAUGCCUCUUACGAGUGGGGCAACACACGUGCUACAAUGGCUACUACAAAGAGCAGCAAAACAGUGAUGUCAAGCUAAUCUCAAAAAAGUAGUCUCAGUUCGGAUUGAAGUCUGCAACUCGACUUCAUGAAGUCGGAAUCGCUAGUAAUCGCAGGUCAGCUAUACUGCGGUGAAUACGUUCUCGGGUUUUGUACACACCGCCCGUCACACCAUGGGAGUUGGUAAUGCCCAAAGUCGGUGAGUUAACUUCGGAGACCAUUGCCUAAGGCAGGACCGAUGACUGGGGUGAAGUCGUAACAAGGUAUCCCUACGAGAACGUGGG